Molecule: ribosomal RNA, 400 nt
Filed under: uncultured bacterium
Lineage: Bacteria
Description: bacterial SSU rRNA
Rfam family: Bacterial small subunit ribosomal RNA
Source: RNAcentral
UGGGGAAUUUUGGACAAUGGGCGCAAGCCUGAUCCAGCAAUGCCGCGUGCAGGAUGAAGGCCUUCGGGUUGUAAACUGCUUUUGUACGGAACGAAAAGUACUUCUCUAAUACAGAGGUGCGAUGACGGUACCGUAAGAAUAAGCACCGGCUAACUACGUGCCAGCAGCCGCGGUAAUACGUAGGGUGCGAGCGUUAAUCGGAAUUACUGGGCGUAAAGCGUGCGCAGGCGGUUAUGUAAGACAGAGGUGAAAUCCCCGGGCUCAACCUGGGAACUGCCUUUGUGACUGCAUGGCUAGAGUGCGGCAGAGGGGGAUGGAAUUCCGCGUGUAGCAGUGAAAUGCGUAGAUAUGCGGAGGAACACCGAUGGCGAAGGCAAUCCCCUGGGCCUGCACUGACGCU